Molecule: ribosomal RNA, 718 nt
Filed under: Setobaudinia gumalamala
Lineage: Eukaryota; Metazoa; Mollusca; Gastropoda; Stylommatophora; Camaenidae
Description: partial 16S ribosomal RNA
Source: RNAcentral
CACGAAACUAUGUGAGCUAAAUUUACUUACGUGUCAUGUAGCAUAAUGAUUAAAUGAAGGAAAUUUAGGGGUGAUAGGCUUUACAAACAUAGUGAUAUCUUGAUUUUCUCGAAAUGUAAUAGUACACAUACGGAUUUAAAGCUAUAAGGUUUUAAAUAUUGAUAAAUCUUGAUAAAUUAAUGGUGAGAUGUAAAAGUCUACACAUAAACAAUUUUAACAUAUAUAUCAUAAGGUUGUUAAAAAUAGAGAAAUGUAUUUUAAUUAACAUUAUAUUAACAAUGUUACUAUUAGUAUUAUAUAAGGUGCAAAUAGUGAACUCGGCAUUAAGUUUUCAACUGUUUAUCAAAAACAUAGCUGCGUGACAAUACACGCAGUAUUUUCUGCUCAAUGAAUAUUAAAUAGCCGCAGUACCUUGACUGUGCAAAGGUAGCGUAAUCAUUUGUCUUUUAAUUGGAGUCACGUAUGAACGAAUAUAUGGGGACUUUCUUUACCAUUUGUAAUAACAGAACUUAAUUAAUGAGUGAAAAAGCUCAUGUUUAAAUAAUAGACGAGAAGACCCUAGAAAUUUAUGUUGACAUUUUGUUGGGGCAACAUAGUAACAUGUAACUUACUAUAUAAAUAUGAAAUAGAUUAGAUAAGUUAAAUUACUCUAGGGAUAACAGCAUAAUGUUUAAAUGUUUGUGACCUCGAUGUUGGAUUAGGGAGUUAUAGUUUAGAA